UUAACAAAAAUUGAACUAAUAACUGACUGAACUUGAUAGUGAGUAAUCACUAUACUUGAACUAAUACAAUAACACCACAAUCCACUUAAUGGUUGAAUAUCAAUCUAAAUUUUCAACGAUGGAUGUCUUGGCUCCCAUAUCGAUGAAGAACGCAGCAAGAAUGCGAUAUGCAAUGUGAAUUGCAGAACCAUGAAUCAUCGGAUAUUCUAACGCAACUGGCACUGGCUAAACCAGUAUACUUGUUUCAGUGUGCGUAACCAAACACACAAUCAAAAUGUAAGAGAUCACCUCUUAUGAAAUGAAUGCUCAUUGUAGCAAUCACAAUCUUUUGUGAAUUACUCUGAGACUUUUCAAUUUGCACCUGAAAUCAAGUAAGAUGACCCGCUGAACUUA
Molecule: unclassified non-coding RNA, 393 nt
Filed under: Balantioides coli
Lineage: Eukaryota; Ciliophora; Litostomatea; Vestibuliferida; Balantidiidae
Description: sequence contains ITS1, 5.8S rRNA gene, ITS2
Rfam family: 5.8S ribosomal RNA (bases 108-253)
Source: RNAcentral